Molecule: ribosomal RNA, 467 nt
Filed under: uncultured bacterium
Lineage: Bacteria
Description: partial 16S ribosomal RNA
Rfam family: Bacterial small subunit ribosomal RNA
Source: RNAcentral
GACGAACGCUGGCGGCGUGCUUAACACAUGCAAGUCGAACGGAAAGGCCCUGCUUUUGUGGGGUGCUCGAGUGGCGAACGGGUGAGUAACACGUGAGUAACCUGCCCUUGACUUUGGGAUAACUUCAGGAAACUGGGGCUAAUACCGGAUAGGAGCUCUGGUGCAUGGUGGGGGGUGGGAAGGUUCGGCGGUUGGGGAUGGACUCGCGGCUUAUCAGCUUGUUGGUGGGGUAGUGGCUUACCAAGGCUUUGACGGGUAGCCGGCCUGAGAGGGUGACCGGCCACAUUGGGACUGAGAUACGGCCCAGACUCCUACGGGAGGCAGCAGUGGGGAAUAUUGCACAAUGGGCGGAAGCCUGAUGCAGCAACGCCGCGUGCGGGAUGACGGCCUUCGGGUUGUAAACCGCUUUCGCCUGUGACGAAGCGUGAGUGACGGUAAUGGGUAAAGAAGCACCGGCUAACUACGUG